ACUGUGCGCUAAUCUUCACUGAUUUUACCCAAAAGUGAUAUAGAUGGUGACAUCUGAUGAGGGUUUGAAGACCUUUCAUGGACAAAAUAUUAUAUUUACAGAUACAUAUCUGAUGUAAUAAAUCUAGUCAGAUGGUGAGAUAGCCAAGUGAUUCAGGUGCUUCAGGUACAAUAUCUCAAAUUACAUGUUUUGCCAUGAGGGCCCCAGAUACAUUCUUAGAAGACUGAACUCAGCCCUUCAUACGUCCAACCCAUCAAUGUAUAAUCUGCUACUUUCUUGAAAACGUGCAAAAUCUAAGUGUGUGUUUUCUGGUUAAAUGAUUUGAUAGUAUUAGUAUAUAUUAAACGCAGUAUUAGAUAUUGUGUGCCUUAAAUUGGUCCUGUCAUCUUCUUUCCACGUAGCUUCUCUGUACGAGGGUAACAGAAUGGAUAUUUUUGUUAGCUAUUUUCACAAUGUUGGAUUGUUUACAAGAUAAUUUGUUCUUCACUCAUUUAUUCAUGAAAAUUCAUAUUUUAAAUCAACAUUGAAAUAGUGUACUAUAUUGCCAGGAAUUCAAAGUGAAUUUCCAGUCUAAGGCUACAUUAGCUAAACUGGGGAAAUUGCUCAGGCCAGCAAUGCCUGCAGUUCAGCUAGUUUGCCCUUAAAUUUAUAGUUUACAUAUACCGUGUCUGUGUAUAUGGCAUAGCUUUAAGACACACUAAAGUUUAAACUCGGGGUAAUCAAUCAAUAGAUUUCCAGCCAUUAGUGUUGGAAGCUGGAGGGUAGGAGAAAACGUCACCCCCCCAAGAAAAUUGAGUGUAAGGUUUGAGAAUAGUAGGGGGGAGGGUAGGGAUGUAAUACCGCCCCCUUCCAAUUCAUAAAGGUGUAGAUCACAUUUUGAUUUUUAAGAAACAUGAGAAACACAUUUUCAAGGAGUAGCUUAACACAUAUUUUCUAAAACAAUUAAAUUUUAACCAUAAGAUUACUAAAUAUCAGUGGACAGAUGUUUAUUGAACAAUUGCUUAUUCAGUAUUAUCGCAUAUAUACUAAAAGAUGAGGCCAGGUAGCUUAAAUAGGCCUAUAUCCCAUUGUAUCAAAAGCAUCCCCAAUGUUACUCUAUCAAUUUGCCCAUAAGAACUGCAUAGUUUAAAGGGACUCUGUAGGCACUGUAUCUGCUUCAUAUCAUUAAACUGGUUAUAGUGUCUGGAGUCCCCUGGUAUCGUCAUUUCAUUAAACAUUUAAUCGGUUUUAAUGUUUUUAUGUGUUAAUGCUAAAUGAGAAUCCCCCUCUGUGCUGCUUUGGCUACUGAGGAAGUAUUUGCCUGAGCAGCAAUGGGCAAUCGUGAUUGGCUGAUAGUGUCAGCUGACUGCUUUUAGCCUAUCAGAGCUCUAACUUGACAGUAUGAAGGCUAUGAAUACUAGGAAGUGUAUAAUCUCUGCCUUAGCCACACCUCCAGAAGGGGUCGGACUGUGUGUGGCCAGGGACCCUUAUUUAAUGUUAAAUAGCUCUAAUUUGGUUUAACGCUGAAUGUAGGCACAGUGCCAGGGUGCUCCAGGAACUAUAACCAAUUCAAAGAGAUUUAAUAGUUAGAGUGACUGCAAUGCCCCUUUAAUGUAUUGUUCCUGAGGGUGCAUGUUUUGUAUGAACGGUUGCCCUUGCUCCAUUUACUUUGAUAAUCAAUGAUGUUUUCGGUUGUUGGUUCCUGACGAAUAUUGGUGCUUUAAUUUAACGACCGCUAGUGAGUUCAUUUGCUAUGGUUUAAUAUAAAUGAAGGGAGCGUAUUACACAGGAAAUACACCUAACUAAAUUGCCAGGUAUACUCUAAAACUCACUCUGGACUGCAGCUUUGGUCAUGCAGAAAUCUCUCACUAUGGCUGACCCAUCCUAAAUUUUGAUUUGCUUUGUUUUGUGGGGUUGAGAGAGUACAUUUAGCAACUCAGCUGUCAGCCCACCACAUCUCAUUAUGGGAUUACAUUAAGUGGUAUUUUCUGUCCUUGUAGUGAGUUGAGAAACUUUGUGCAAAAUGUAAACCGAGCAGAUCUGGGGGGAAACAAAAAAAUCAACAAAAUCCAACAGUCAUUCUCUCAUACACACCGCAAGCAUCCUGGAACAAUAUUCACAGAGUCCAUUUUCACCAAAGCUUUAUAUUCUCUAGUCUAUUUCAAGCAAAUUCUCACUAGAAAACUCUCCUGCAUAAUACCUUUUUUUUUUGCCUGCAGAUAUACUGAAUUACUUUCAAAGAGCAGUCACAUUUCUUGAAAUUAUAGGAAAUAUAUCUUGAACUUGAUAAAUAAACCAAAGAUACUACUUAGGUUAUUUUCUAAACUGGAGAUGACAAUUUUUUUAGGUCAAACGGCAAGCCGAGAUCUAUAUUUGAUCUACAAUGUGCAAUUUCCUUGUCAAAUCUCUACAACAAUUCCUGGUUUAGUAAAUAAUCCUGAGAUACCUAAUAUCGUUUACUUUUUUGCUUUGAUGUUGCCUGAACCGUUGAUAUUUUUGCUAUAUCUGUUACUGUAUUUCAGAUGAAUACCGUCCGGUUAGUCUGACAUUUUUAUGGUUUUGUCAUCAGGCAGAAUAAUUGCGAUCUCUCUCUAUUUCAGGAAUGUAUGAAUGUAUCUAUCAAGCUAUCAGUACCUCAUGAACACGUAUUUGCAGUUUUCUUCUCUAUAUUUUACGUCUUCUGUAACUUAAAUUGUGUAGCUUUAACUAAUAAAAGAAGCCAGAAGGAACACGUGCCUUUUUACUUCUAAAUGUAUUCGAAUUUUGCUUUGUUGAUGUGAUGCUUGUGUUAGUCGAAUGCCGGUCAUUCUGUCGCUGAGCAUUUAUGUCAGUGUGGCGGCCCUGUGGCUGACAGAAAAACUACUGUUAUUAUGUUGGUAAUGUUAUAUUUUAUAAACUUAAGUGCCAUUAAAUUUUCAAACCUGA
Molecule: long non-coding RNA, 2904 nt
Organism: Pelobates fuscus (common spadefoot toad)
Lineage: Eukaryota; Metazoa; Chordata; Amphibia; Anura; Pelobatidae
Exons: 2
Source: RefSeq, a predicted model, not a curated record